AUUGAACGCUAGCGGGAUGCUUUACACAUGCAAGUCGAACGGCAGCGCGGACUUCGGUCUGGCGGCGAGUGGCGAACGGGUGAGUAAUGUAUCGGAACGUGCCCAGUAGCGGGGGAUAACUACGCGAAAGCGUAGCUAAUACCGCAUACGCCCUACGGGGGAAAGCAGGGGAUCGUAAGACCUUGCACUAUUGGAGCGGCCGAUAUCGGAUUAGCUAGUUGGUGAGGUAACGGCUCACCAAGGCGACGAUCCGUAGCUGGUUUGAGAGGACGACCAGCCACACUGGAACUGAGACACGGCCCAGACUCCUACGGGAGGCAGCAGUGGGGAAUUUUGGACAAUGGGGCAACCCUGAUCCAGCCAUCCCGCGUGUGCGAUGAAGGCCUUCGGGUUGUAAAGCACUUUUGGCAGGAAAGAAACGUCGCGGACUAAUACCCCGUGGAACUGACGGUACCUGCAGAAUAAGCACCGGCUAACUACGUG
This 483-nucleotide ribosomal RNA is filed under the name uncultured bacterium. Its description in RNAcentral is "partial 16S ribosomal RNA". It matches the Rfam family "Bacterial small subunit ribosomal RNA", at positions 30 to 507 of the family's 1533-position model. The record is from RNAcentral.